GAUGAACGCUGGCGGCGUGCCUAAUACAUGCAAGUCGAGCGAACGGACGAGAAGCUUGCUUCUCUGAUGUUAGCGGCGGACGGGUGAGUAACACGUGGAUAACCUACCUAUAAGACUGGGAUAACUUCGGGAAACCGGAGCUAAUACCGGAUAAUAUUUUGAACCGCAUGGUUCAAAAGUAAAAGACGGUCUUGCUGUCACUUAUAGAUGGAUCCGCGCUGCAUUAGCUAGUUGGUAAGGUAACGGCUUACCAAGGCAACGAUGCAUAGCCGACCUGAGAGGGUGAUCGGCCACACUGGAACUGAGACACGGUCCAGACUCCUACGGGAGGCAGCAGUAGGGAAUCUUCCGCAAUGGGCGAAAGCCUGACGGAGCAACGCCGCGUGAGUGAUGAAGGUCUUCGGAUCGUAAAACUCUGUUAUUAGGGAAGAAUAUAUGUGUAAGUAACUGUGCACAUCUUGACGGUACCUAAUCAGAAAGCCACGGCUAACUACGUGCCAGCAGCCGCGGUAAUACGUAGGUGGCAAGCGUUAUCCGGAAUUAUUGGGCGUAAAGCGCGCGUAGGCGGUUUUUUAAGUCUGAUGUGAAAGCCCACGGCUCAACCGUGGAGGGUCAUUGGAAACUGGAAAACUUGAGUGCAGAAGAGGAAAGUGGAAUUCCAUGUGUAGCGGUGAAAUGCGCAGAGAUAUGGAGGAACACCAGUGGCGAAGGCGACUUUCUGGUCUGUAACUGACGCUGAUGUGCGAAAGCGUGGGGAUCAAACAGGAUUAGAUACCCUGGUAGUCCACGCCGUAAACGAUGAGUGCUAAGUGUUAGGGGGUUUCCGCCCCUUAGUGCUGCAGCUAACGCAUUAAGCACUCCGCCUGGGGAGUACGACCGCAAGGUUGAAACUCAAAGGAAUUGACGGGGACCCGCACAAGCGGUGGAGCAUGUGGUUUAAUUCGAAGCAACGCGAAGAACCUUACCAAAUCUUGACAUCCUUUGACAACUCUAGAGAUAGAGCCUUCCCCUUCGGGGGACAAAGUGACAGGUGGUGCAUGGUUGUCGUCAGCUCGUGUCGUGAGAUGUUGGGUUAAGCCCCGCAACGAGCGCAACCCUUAAGCUUAGUUGCCAUCAUUAAGUUGGGCACUCUAAGUUGACUGCCGGUGACAAACCGGAGGAAGGUGGGGAUGACGUCAAAUCAUCAUGCCCCUUAUGAUUUGGGCUACACACGUGCUACAAUGGACAAUACAAAGGGCAGCGAAACCGCGAGGUCAAGCAAAUCCCAUAAAGUUGUUCUCAGUUCGGAUUGUAGUCUGCAACUCGACUACAUGAAGCUGGAAUCGCUAGUAAUCGUAGAUCAGCAUGCUACGGUGAAUACGUUCCCGGGUCU
This 1372-nucleotide ribosomal RNA is filed under the name uncultured bacterium. Its description in RNAcentral is "bacterial SSU rRNA". It matches the Rfam family "Bacterial small subunit ribosomal RNA", at positions 28 to 1381 of the family's 1533-position model. The record is from RNAcentral.